RNAcentral lists this non-coding RNA (30 nucleotides) under Rattus norvegicus (Norway rat). The record is from RNAcentral. Lineage: Eukaryota; Metazoa; Chordata; Mammalia; Rodentia; Muridae.
UGCUCCUAGAUUUGAAGCAAGGGUCCCGUC